This 224-nucleotide long non-coding RNA is filed under the name Lathyrus oleraceus (garden pea). RNAcentral describes it as "Pisum sativum (pea) long non-coding RNA (PSAT_LNC006609)". Lineage: Eukaryota; Viridiplantae; Streptophyta; Magnoliopsida; Fabales; Fabaceae. The record is from RNAcentral.
UAAAUACAAACAAAAGGGAAAAUAAGUGGUUUGGGUUCAGAGCCAAUAUCCUUAUUCUUUUCACUGUGUUUGUUCUACAUCUCAUUUCCAAUUCUUUUCUUUUUCAGUUUGCAUUGCUCAAUUCUUUUUUUCUUUGAUUUUCUCUUCUCUUUUUUUUUUUCAACUGAGCGCUUCUCAUUCGGUGAGUGCUUAUCUUGUACCAUCGAAUACAUUUUUUUCUUUUU